UGGUUUUGAAGAUUUAUUGUAA
RNAcentral lists this non-coding RNA (22 nucleotides) under Mus musculus (house mouse). The record is from RNAcentral. Lineage: Eukaryota; Metazoa; Chordata; Mammalia; Rodentia; Muridae.